This 413-nucleotide RNase P RNA is filed under the name Bdellovibrionales bacterium RIFCSPHIGHO2_01_FULL_40_29. RNAcentral describes it as "RNase P RNA component class A". It matches the Rfam family "Bacterial RNase P class A". From Rfam's summary of the family: Ribonuclease P (RNase P) is a ubiquitous endoribonuclease, found in archaea, bacteria and eukarya as well as chloroplasts and mitochondria. RNAcentral also lists the same sequence under 1 other name. The record is from RNAcentral. Lineage: Bacteria; Pseudomonadati; Bdellovibrionota; Bdellovibrionia; Bdellovibrionales.
AGGGUUUUACGGGUAAUCGCUGCUAGACGUAGAAAUACGUUUAGGAGAGGAAAGUCCGAGCUUCAAAGAGCAGCACAUGGGGUAACUCCCCUCGGCCGUAAGGUUAGGAACAGUGGAACAGAAAGAAUAUCCAAGGCUAUGAGCCUGAUUUCGGGAACGGGAGAAAUCAGGGGAGUCGGUGGAGUGAAAACAGCCAAACUCUGUGCGAAGCAAGAUCAAAUAGGGAAGCGCAAUCGCUGAAAGUUUUCGAAAGAUGAUUUCCAGAGAUUUAACGGCGGCUCGCCGAAGACUUCCGGGUCAGAUCGCUUGAGCGUUUAAGUAAUUAAACGCCUAGAGGAAUGAUUACCAACUUACCAAAGGAAUGUGGGAACAAUGGUAAGUAACAGAACUCGGCUUACAGUAAAACCCUCCCA